AGAGUUUGAUCCUGGCUCAGGACGAACGCUGGCGGCGUGCCUAACACAUGCAAGUCGAACGGAAAAUUGAGCUUCGGUUCAAUUUUUAGUGGCGAACGGGUGAGUAACGCGUAGGCAACCUGCCCUUUAGACGGGGACAACAUUCCGAAAGGGAUGCUAAUACCGGAUGUGACGCUCCUAUCGCAUGGCGGGAGCGUGAAAGAUGGCCUCUACAUGUAAGCUAUCGCUAAAGGAUGGGCCUGCGUCUGAUUAGCUAGUUGGUAGUGUAACGGACAACCAAGGCGAUGAUCAGUAGCCGGUCUGAGAGGAUGAACGGCCACAUUGGGACUGAGACACGGCCCAGACUCCUACGGGAGGCAGCAGUGGGGAAUCUUCCGCAAUGGGCGAAAGCCUGACGGAGCAACGCCGCGUGAGUGAAGAAGGUCUUCGGAUUGUAAAGCUCUGUUGUACAUGACGAAUGUGCCGGUUGUGAAUAAUGGCUGGUAAUGACGGUAGUGUACGAGGAAGCCACGGCUAACUACGUGCCAGCAGCCGCGGU
This 538-nucleotide ribosomal RNA is filed under the name Firmicutes bacterium M42. RNAcentral's name for it is "bacterial SSU rRNA". It matches the Rfam family "Bacterial small subunit ribosomal RNA", at positions 8 to 521 of the family's 1533-position model. Lineage: Bacteria; Bacillati; Bacillota. The record is from RNAcentral.